This is an RNA transcript of Papaver somniferum (opium poppy), 885 nucleotides long. RefSeq lists it as uncharacterized. The transcript is spliced from 5 exons. The record is from RefSeq and is a predicted model, not a curated record. NCBI's taxonomy places the organism in Eukaryota, Viridiplantae, Streptophyta, Magnoliopsida, Ranunculales, Papaveraceae.
UUGGCGUGUUGGGUUCCAUCAAUAUACUUGCACUUCCAUGAUCAACCAAAAUAUUGAGGUGGCAUGGAACUUGAAGAUGAAAUUCUUACACCAAAGCACAAACAUCCUUAGGUUACAUUACCUAUUAACUUAUCUUCUAAAAUCCAUUCCAACGAUACCCAGUUUUAAGUUUUAAAUUCUCAUCAGCUCUUCUUCUUCUUGGUGCUUGAUUCAGGAAAAGGAUAGUUUUCAAGCUGUGUUGAUGGAGCACCUGAGAAUGAGCGGUGCAUAUUGGGGUUUGACCACUCUUGAUCUUGUGGGAAAGCUUGGAGCUGUGGAUCGAGAUGAGAUUGUUUCAUGGGUUAUGCAGUGCCAACAUGAGUCUGGUGGCUUUGCUGGUAAUAUUGGGCAUGAUCCCACAUGCUCUACACGCUUAGUGCUGUGCAAGUUUUGGUUCUCCUUGACAAGCUCGAUGUUCUGGACAUCGACAAGCUAUCGAACUACAUCGCCGGACUGCAAAAUGAAGAUGGAUCAUUUGCAGGAGACAUUUGGGGUGAAAUUGAUACUAGGUGCAGGAGACAUUUGGGGUGAAAUAUGGUUUGGUCCUUUUUAGGUUUUCUUAUAUCGCAAUUUCAUGUCUCUCGCUAUUGCACCGUUUGGAUAAAAUCAAUGUGGAGAAAGCUGUUGAAUACAUUGUGAGCUGUAAGAAUUUGUGAUGUAGGACAUCCUACUCUAUUUCCUAUUAUAGUUCUUCUUAGAACUUCCUAUCAUAUUUCUUUAUUUAGGAUUUCCUUUCCUAGUUUUAGUGUGUUUCCUAGUUUGGUUUGAUUUCCUUUUCUAGUCCUAAUUAUAUUUAGAAUCCUUAAAGCCUAUAUAAGAAGGCAUAGACAUAGCAGAUAUGUACAA